RNAcentral lists this ribosomal RNA (875 nucleotides) under Staphylococcus hominis subsp. novobiosepticus. Its description in RNAcentral is "bacterial SSU rRNA". It matches the Rfam family "Bacterial small subunit ribosomal RNA", at positions 61 to 918 of the family's 1533-position model. Lineage: Bacteria; Bacillati; Bacillota; Bacilli; Caryophanales; Staphylococcaceae. The record is from RNAcentral.
GUCGAGCGAACAGACGAGGAGCUUGCUCCUUUGACGUUAGCGGCGGACGGGUGAGUAACACGUAGUAACCUACCUAUAAGACUGGGAUAACUUCGGGAAACCGGAGCUAAUACCGGAUAAUAUUUCGAACCGCAUGGUUCGAUAGUGAAAGAUGGCUUUGCUAUCACUUAUAGAUGGACCUGCGCCGUAUUAGCUAGUUGGUAAGGUAACGGCUUACCAAGGCAACGAUACGUAGCCGACCUGAGAGGGUGAUCGGCCACACUGGAACUGAGACACGGUCCAGACUCCUACGGGAGGCAGCAGUAGGGAAUCUUCCGCAAUGGGCGAAAGCCUGACGGAGCAACGCCGCGUGAGUGAUGAAGGUCUUCGGAUCGUAAAACUCUGUUAUUAGGGAAGAACAAACGUGUAAGUAACUGUGCACGUCUUGACGGUACCUAAUCAGAAAGCCACGGCUAACUACGUGCCAGCAGCCGCGGUAAUACGUAGGUGGCAAGCGUUAUCCGGAAUUAUUGGGCGUAAAGCGCGCGUAGGCGGUUUUUUAAGUCUGAUGUGAAAGCCCACGGCUCAACCGUGGAGGGUCAUUGGAAACUGGAAAACUUGAGUGCAGAAGAGGAAAGUGGAAUUCCAUGUGUAGCGGUGAAAUGCGCAGAGAUAUGGAGGAACACCAGUGGCGAAGGCGACUUUCUGGUCUGUAACUGACGCUGAUGUGCGAAAGCGUGGGGAUCAAACAGGAUUAGAUACCCUGGUAGUCCACGCCGUAAACGAUGAGUGCUAAGUGUUAGGGGGUUUCCGCCCCUUAGUGCUGCAGCUAACGCAUUAAGCACUCCGCCUGGGGAGUACGACCGCAAGGUUGAAACUCAAAGGAAUUGACGGGG